GGCCUACCAUGCAAGUCGAGCGGUAGCACAGAGAGCUUGCUCUCGGGUGACGAGCGGCGGACGGGUGAGUAAUGUCUGGGAAACUGCCUGAUGGAGGGGGAUAACUACUGGAAACGGUAGCUAAUACCGCAUAAUGUCGCAAGACCAAAGUGGGGGACCUUCGGGCCUCAUGCCAUCAGAUGUGCCCAGAUGGGAUUAGCUAGUAGGUGGGGUAACGGCUCACCUAGGCGACGAUCCCUAGCUGGUCUGAGAGGAUGACCAGCCACACUGGAACUGAGACACGGUCCAGACUCCUACGGGAGGCAGCAGUGGGGAAUAUUGCACAAUGGGCGCAAGCCUGAUGCAGCCAUGCCGCGUGUGUGAAGAAGGCCUUCGGGUUGUAAAGCACUUUCAGCGGGGAGGAAGGCGUUAAGGUUAAUAACCUUGGCGAUUGACGUUACCCGCAGAAGAAGCACCGGCUAACUCCGUGCCAGCAGCCGCGGUAAUACGGAGGGUGCAAGCGUUAAUCGGAAUUACUGGGCGUAAAGCGCACGCAGGCGGUCUGUCAAGUCGGAUGUGAAAUCCCCGGGCUCAACCUGGGAACUGCAUUCGAAACUGGCAGGCUAGAGUCUUGUAGAGGGGGGUAGAAUUCCAGGUGUAGCGGUGAAAUGCGUAGAGAUCUGGAGGAAUACCGGUGGCGAAGGCGGCCCCCUGGACAAAGACUGACGCUCAGGUGCGAAAGCGUGGGGAGCAAACAGGAUUAGAUACCCUGGUAGUCCACGCCGUAAACGAUGUCGAUUUGGAGGUUGUGCCCUUGAGGCGUGGCUUCCGGAGCUAACGCGUUAAAUCGACCGCCUGGGGAGUACGGCCGCAAGGUUAAAACUCAAAUGAAUUGACGGGGGCCCGCACAAGCGGUGGAGCAUGUGGUUUAAUUCGAUGCAACGCGAAGAACCUUACCUGGUCUUGACAUCCACAGAACUUUCCAGAGAUGGAUUGGUGCCUUCGGGAACUGUGAGACAGGUGCUGCAUGGCUGUCGUCAGCUCGUGUUGUGAAAUGUUGGGUUAAGUCCCGCAACGAGCGCAACCCUUAUCCUUUGUUGCCAGCGGUCCGGCCGGGAACUCAAAGGAGACUGCCAGUGAUAAACUGGAGGAAGGUGGGGAUGACGUCAAGUCAUCAUGGCCCUUACGACCAGGGCUACACACGUGCUACAAUGGCAUAUACAAAGAGAAGCGACCUCGCGAGAGCAAGCGGACCUCAUAAAGUAUGUCGUAGUCCGGAUUGGAGUCUGCAACUCGACUCCAUGAAGUCGGAAUCGCUAGUAAUCGUAGAUCAGAAUGCUACGGUGAAUACGUUCCCGGGCCUUGUACACACCGCCCGUCACACCAUGGGAGUGGGUUGCAAAAGAAGUAGGUAGCUUAACCUUCGGGAGGGCGCUAC
Molecule: ribosomal RNA, 1417 nt
Filed under: Klebsiella sp. ANctcri2
Lineage: Bacteria; Pseudomonadati; Pseudomonadota; Gammaproteobacteria; Enterobacterales; Enterobacteriaceae
Description: bacterial SSU rRNA
Rfam family: Bacterial small subunit ribosomal RNA
Source: RNAcentral